RNAcentral lists this ribosomal RNA (494 nucleotides) under uncultured bacterium. RNAcentral describes it as "bacterial SSU rRNA". It matches the Rfam family "Bacterial small subunit ribosomal RNA", at positions 353 to 861 of the family's 1533-position model. The record is from RNAcentral.
AGUUAGGAAUCUUCCACAAUGGGGGCAACCCUGAUGGAGCAACACCGCGUGCUGGAUGAAGGCCUUCGGGUCGUAAACAGCUUUUGUAUACGAAGAAUAUGACGGUAAUAUACGAAUAAGGGUCGGCUAACUACGUGCCAGCAGCCGCGGUCAUACGUAGGACCCAAGCGUUAUCCGGAGUGACUGGGCGUAAAGAGUUGCGUAGGCGGCUUAUUAAGUGGACAGUGAAAGCUGGUGGCUCAACCAUUCAGUCUAUUGUCCAAACUGGUAAGCUUGAGAGUGGUAGAGGUAGCUGGAAUUUCUUGUGUAGGAGCGAAAUCCGUAGAUAUAAGAAGGAACACCAAUGGCGUAGGCAGGCUACUGGACCAUUUCUGACGCUGAGGCACGAAAGCGUGGGGAGCGAACCGGAUUAGAUACCCGGGUAGUCCACGCCGUAAACGAUGGAUGCUAGCUGUGGGGGGUAUCGACCCCCUCCGUAGCGAAGCUAACGCGUU